This 253-nucleotide ribosomal RNA is filed under the name uncultured bacterium. RNAcentral describes it as "partial 16S ribosomal RNA". It matches the Rfam family "Bacterial small subunit ribosomal RNA", at positions 524 to 776 of the family's 1533-position model. The record is from RNAcentral.
UACGUAGGGGGCAAGCGUUGUCCGGAAUCAUUGGGCGUAAAGAGCGUGUAGGCGGCCCGGUAAGUCCGCUGUGAAAGUCCAGGGCUCAACCCUGGGAUGCCGGUGGAUACUGUCGGGCUCGAGUCCGGAAGAGGAGUGUGGAAUUCCUGGUGUAGCGGUGAAAUGCGCAGAUAUCAGGAGGAACACCAAUGGCGAAGGCAGCACUCUGGGACGUGACUGACGCUGAGACGCGAAAGCGUGGGGAGCAAACGGG